RNAcentral lists this ribosomal RNA (493 nucleotides) under uncultured bacterium. RNAcentral's name for it is "partial 16S ribosomal RNA". It matches the Rfam family "Bacterial small subunit ribosomal RNA", at positions 30 to 523 of the family's 1533-position model. The record is from RNAcentral.
AUUGAACGCUGGCGGCAUGCUUUACACAUGCAAGUCGAACGGUAACAGGUUAAGCUGACGAGUGGCGAACGGGUGAGUAAUGCAUCGGAACGUGCCCGAUCGUGGGGGAUAACGCAGCGAAAGCUGCGCUAAUACCGCAUACGAUCUGAGGAUGAAAGCGGGGGACCGUAAGGCCUCGCGCGAUCGGAGCGGCCGAUGUCAGAUUAGGUAGUUGGUGGGGUAAAGGCCCACCAAGCCGACGAUCUGUAGCUGGUCUGAGAGGACGACCAGCCACACUGGGACUGAGACACGGCCCAGACUCCUACGGGAGGCAGCAGUGGGGAAUUUUGGACAAUGGGCGAAAGCCUGAUCCAGCAAUGCCGCGUGCAGGAAGAAGGCCUUCGGGUUGUAAACUGCUUUUGUACGGAGCGAAAAGGUCCUUUCUAAUACAAGGGGCUCAUGACGGUACCGUAAGAAUAAGCACCGGCUAACUACGUGCCAGCCGCCGCCGUAA